CCAAACCCAAAAGACUGACCCAGCCCACACCCCUUUAAUACUCUCUUCUCCAAUACAGCAAACAACAACAUUUAAUAUCAACAAAACCAAAUCAUUAACUCCCUUUGCCCUUUCUUUUCCCCAUCAAUAUCAAUAAUUUCAACAAAAACAACAACCAACCACGCUUUCAAACAUCACAACGUACAAAAUCAGUCAACAAUAGCUGCAACAACAACUCAACAACAAUGAUCAAAUCGUACCAAUUUUAUCCCAAAAUUCAAAAUUUCAAAAUCUUUUCCAAAAAUUCAAAAAUACCCUCCUCUGUUCCCCUCAAAAUUGGUCCAUAAAUACCCAAGAAAAAGAGUGAAGGAGGGGGGAUCUCUUUGGAGAAUUCUUAAGAGAAAAAAAAAAAGGAACUUUUUGGAGAGGAUUUUAAGGAAAAAAUUGGGGAUUAUGGAGGCGCAUGCUUCUAAUCCCACAUAACUGAAAAUUUUUGAAGAACACAUCCGAAAAACUUGAUUCCGGCGAACAAAAGCAUCGGUGAAGGCUUCGUCGUAAUAGACUCUUCUGUCCUGGUUCCUGCCCCAAAAAGGUAAAUAACUCAGUUCUUUUUUUUUUUGUUUACACUUUUUCCUCUGCUCGGCGUGCGAAUGCGAUAUUAUAAACUAUAGUUGAAUAUUCUGCUCUUCCUGUUAUUGUGGGAUUUGUAUAAUUUAUGUCUACCUUAAUAAUGAAUUAAUAAAUUAAUAAAUAAAGGCUAAUAAUCGAGUGUUAUUAAUUUUGGGGAAAACGGAAAGGAGUUGAGGGAGAAAAAGGAAUUGCAGGACGUGGUCAUAUGGGUACAUGAUUUUUGUUAAUUUUUUUUUUUUUAAUCUUUUCCUUACUUCUUGUUUAGGAAAGAAAUUAUUAUUCUCUAAAUUAAUCAUGUAUCAUUAUAAUUAUUAUUAUUUUAAAAAAGGAAUGAUUUUCCUGAUUGUUAGUUGGAUUUUACAGUAUUUAUUUAUUUAAGGUAAAAUAAUUUUUAAUUGUCACUUAAUUUGUUUGUCUAUUUAUUGUCUCCUUUUAUAUGUUGUUUCGGGUUACUAGAAUACUAAUCCCUUUUACUUACUUCAAACAAAUUGAUUCUAGAGUUGGUAGUGAAUAUGUAUGAAUAAUAAAUUUUUUCACAUUGCUUUUUUGACUAGUUAUGUUUGUACUAUUUGAAUAAAGUCUUAUCUUUAUAUUUUUUUUUGAUGCAUGUGACACCGACUUGAAUCCAAUUGGACUUCUUCGCCCCAGCACUUCUUAGAGACCAAAGUCCCGAAAAUGGACUAAAUCCAACCAAUCAUUUAAUGUAUAUGAACAGUAAAGAAAAAUUUUCAGUAAGAUGCACAGACUACAAAUAUACAAAUAACAAAAAACUGAUGAAGAAAUUGAAGAAUGUGAAAAUAUUAAUUUUAUGAAUAUAUAAAUAUUAGAAGAAGACUUUGAAGUAAAUAAAGCUAUAAUAAAAGCAGAAGUGCUAUAUGAAAUAAAUAGCAAUAGUGCAUUUAAAUGUACAGGUUGUAAAUUAGGGAAUUUAAAACUUGAAGAAAUAAAAGAACAUUUUAUAAAAUGUGAAUUAAGAAUAGAUAAUUAUAGUUAAACGCGUAAACAGGAACUAAAAGGUGAAGACGAAGAAUCAAAUUAUAGUAUAGAAGAAAGUAUAAAGGAAUUUAUGGAAAGCACAACAAGUUUCUCAAGCCCUUUCCAAAGAGCAACCGAUAUACAAAACGUACCAUUAACAACAGGAAAGUUACCAAGGCAUAGAGUAUUUAGAACAAACCCAAACACUCUAAUAGAACAAGACAUAAAACCUAGAGGAAAAAGAAUGCCAAUAGAAAAACCCAUUAGAUUACAAAAAGGAAGUAAUAAAGGAAAAAUUUUAAACUUGCCAGCCCAUGACCCUCAGGCAUGGAAUCAUGUCAUAGACAUAUGAAAAAAUGUAGUUGUAGCAGACUACAUACAACAUAUACAGGGUAAUCAAGAACCAAAUGCAGAAAUUAUGUAUAGAUAUUUAUAAACAUUUCUAGGAGAAAGUAUUAAAGCACUUUGGGAAGCUUAUAAAAUAAUAUUCCCACAAGACUUUCAAGAAUUAGUAGAACUAGGCUCAAAUUCAUACAAUUUUGUAAAUAAGGUACAUACUCUACUAACAUGCCAAGAUCUCAAUAGUGGAUUAGUAGUAUUACAACAAAGAGCUUUAAUAAAUUUAGAACAAUUAAGUAUUAAUCAUUGGUCAAAAAUUAAAGAAUUUUUAAAUGAUUACUUUUAUUAUUGUACAAUUAGUGGAAACACAUUUGAUCAGACUCUAGGAGCUAGAUUAUUUAAUAAAUUACCAGGAGCUUUAGAAAGAGAGAUAGAAGAAAAAUGGUCUAAAAGAGAAGGUUUAAUACAAACAAACAACCCAUGGUCAAUAGGACAAAGAAUACAACAUGUAAUGAAUGUAUUACAAGAAAAAUGUACAAAUAUACAGAUAUAAAAAUAAUUAAAAUGAAGUGAUACAGAUUUUUGUAAGACCAUAUAUACUACUCAACACUAUGACCAAGAUUAUAAAAAGAAAAAAUAUUUGAUAAAUAUAGAUGAAUAUAUGUCAGAUAAUGAAAGUAUAUACUCUAUCAGAAGUAUGGAAGUUUUUGAAUAAGAAAAGGAUAAUUCUGAUUCUCCAGACUCUGGAGAAAACGGAUUUAUAAAUGAAAUAGGACUAGAAAGAACAAAUACAGACUAUCACUUAGUCAAUAACACAGACUAUCACUUAGUCACAGACUAUUAUGAUUUAGUAAAUCUGAUAGAAGAACGUGAACACAAAUUUGAAGAAGGAAAAAGAUUAGACAGUUAUCAAUGUUGUUUUUGUAAAUGGUUUCCAAGUAAAAACAAAAGGGCAAAAUGUAGGAAAUGUUACAAGGAAGCAUGCAUAAAAUGUAUAGAGAAAGCAUCAGAAAUCUUAGAAACUUCGAAAUCAACCCGUAAUUUAAAUAAAUUUUACAACAAGGAACCAAUAACAAGAACAACAAAAGAUCGAAUAUUAGAAUUAGAAGAAAGACUAAAAAGACUAGAGAUAAGAAUAUACAGUAAAGAUAUAAUUAAGGAAGAUGACUUAGUAGAGGUAGAAUUAUUUAAUACAUCUGUUAGAAAUAAUAAAGUUAAAAAUUGAUGAAUGUACCAUUUGAAGGAAUGGUAUGUAAUGAAGAAAAGAAAAUUAGUACAGUCAAGGUUUUAGCGAGAAUAAAAAUUCAAGACCAUGAGUUCGAGACUUUAGCUGUAGUUGAUUUAGGAUGUACAAAGAGCAUUUUAAAUAGUAGAAUUUUACCAGCAAAAUUAAUUAAAAAAUUGCCAAAACCUCAAGAAUCCAUGCAAAUGGAUGGGACAUAUAAUACCUAUACAGACUAUAUACCAAAAGCAAAAAUAAAUUUUAUUAAUACAUGUGAAAAAUUCUACCAACUAUCAUAUACACUUAGUGAAAUACUAGUUAGAGAUUUGGAUAAAAGUUUUAAUUUAUUUUGUUAAGAUAGCACAUUAUUUGUUAGACUGCUUUGGGUAAAAGUUUUAAUUUAUUUUGUUGGAAUAAUUGUAUUUCUUUAUCUACGUCUAUUACUUCUUCUAACUGUUGUCUUGAAGUCAUUCUUGGUUUAUUUAUUAUUUUUGAUAGCACAUUAUUUGUUAAACUGUUUUGGGUAAAACUUGAUCUUUGUCUUGUAAAACUUGAUCUUUUUCUACUUGGGAAUGCUGAAAAAAGGUCCAUGGUUUUGGCUUAGUUGGUAUAGUUAUUUUAGCUUCUUUUAAUUCUUUUUGAGGGGUUAUUUCUAUCCUUUUUAGUUGUUAUAUUAAUUCUUCUAUAUUUUUAUCUUGAUUGUCUUUUUCUAAGGUUUCCUUUUCUAGUUUUAGUAGUAGUUAUUGGAGAUGGUAGAAUAAAAUUGCAACCACACAUAGAUAAAAAAAAGUCUUAGAAAUGUCAAAUAAAUUAGACAAGACUAAAGAUUUACAAAAAAUUUUAGGACUCUUAAAUUAUGCUAGAGCUUUCAUCAAAGAUUUAGAAAAAGUAGCAGGACCACUAUACUCUAAAAUAGGAUCAAUUUGCCCAAGACCCAAAUGCAAACGAUAAUUCAGGAAUGGAGUUUGACUCAGAGGCUUUACAUAAUUUGGACACGUAAGCAGUGACAAUAUCUACAAAAGACAAAAUAGCAGACGUAAGAAAUAUUAGAUAAAUAAAUGAACGGAGGAGAAUUAAAGAAAGAUAUUUGCCGCCGGGCCCACCCAAGUUGAUAAAUCUUGCUAAAGUCUUUACAAAGGAUUUGAAAUCCACAAAAAAGUAAGAUUUGAAGUCCAAAAAUGCCUAUAAAUACUCCCUUUAUGGAAGACAAAAACAUGUACCAAAGAGAGAAAAAAAUCAAGAGUGAGAAAGUAUUCAUAAAGUUCUUAGCUUUUCUUAAAGUUCUUAGUUUCCAAAGUUUGUAAGUUACUUCAAAAAAAAAAAAAAAGAGGAGUGUGUGAAAAGUGUGAAAAGUUUUCUUAGUUCUUCAUUUUUCGGUGGCUAUCAAGUUUUCAGGGGACUCACGAAAGGGAAACCUCACUUCUUCAUUAAGGCAUGUAAGUAGUAGUUACAUAGGUCUAAAUGCAAACGACAUGACCAGCCAUUCAAAAUGUCCUUCUGGACAUAUGAAAGUUGUCUAUUCUAUACUAUUUUCAUGCAUUUUAAUCUGCCAAUAUCCAGAUUUACAAUCAAAUUUACUAAAUACUUUUCUUCCUUGUAUUCUAUUUAUCAAUUCUGUUUUGUCUAGUAACUUAUAUCCAUCAAUUACAGUAUUAUCAUUUAGUCUUUUGUAAUUUAUUACCAUUCUAGUUUUUCCUCUCACUAUUUCACUAUGGUUUCUUACUAUGAAAGCUGCUGACCUAUAUCUUGACGUAGAUCUUCUAAUUAUUCCUAAUUAUAGUAGCUUUUUUAUUUGUAUUUCAAAGUCUUUAAGGUCUUCAUUUGUAGUUUCUAUAGAUGUUGUUUUUAUAGUAUAUUCUGGAUUAAUUAUUUCUAAUUUGCAGGUAAUUUGAUUGGAGUCCCAAUGUUGCAAGGAUUUUUCUCCAAUUAUUUCUAGCUUAUCUAGGAUUUGUAUUAUUUUUUCUAAGUCUAUUUGAUCUUUUAUUACUCCUAUCUGUUGUAUACCUCUCUUAAAAUUGUAUAAUUCUAUAUUUAUUUCUAUUAAAGUAUAGUCUUUUUCUAUUUCUUCUACUACUAAUAAAUCUUGUAAUUCUUCAUACAUUGUUGCUUUUUUAUUAUCAUUACAUGUACAAUUUUCUCCUUUAUUACAUUCUAGUGAUAUUUUGGGUUUUAUUUUGUUAUCUAAGCUUUCCUCUGGCUUAUCCUUAAGAAGGCGAUAUUUAGUUAAAGUAGGUUGUGUAUGUACUGGCGAGUGAGUGAUAUUACUGGCGAAUAUUACCCAAUUUUUUGUAACUAGACAUCCUCCAUUAUUUUGUACCAUAAAAUCUAAUCCUAACACAAAGUCUUCUUUUAUGUUUAAAUCUCUAGCUAGUAUUUCACUAAGUGUAUAUGAUGGUUAGUAGAAUUUUUCACAAGUAUUAAUAAAAUUUAUUUUUGCUUUUGGUAUAUAGUCUGUAUAGGUAUUAUAUGUCUCGUCCAUUUGCAUGGAUUCUUGAGGUUUUGGCAAUUUUUUAAUUAAUUUUGCUGGUAAAAUUCUACUAUUUAAAAUGCUCUUUGUACAUCCUAAAUCAACAAUAGCUAAAGUCUCGAACUCACGGUCUUGAAUUUUUAUUGUCGCUAAAACCUUGACUUACUAAUUUUCUUUUCUUUAUUACAUACCAUUCCUUCAAAUGGUACAUUCAUCGAUUUUUUAACUUUAUUAUUUCUAACAGAUGUAUUAAAUAAUUCUACCUCUACUAAGUCUUCUUCCUUAAUUAUAUCUUUACUGUACAUUCUUAUCUCUAGUCUUUCUUCUAAUUCUAAUAUUCUAUCUUUUGUUGUUCUGGUUUUGGUUUCAUGUUGUAAAAUUUAUUUAAAUUACGAGUUGAUUUCGGAGUAUCUAAGAUUUCUGAUGCUUUCUCUAUACAUUUUAUGCAUGCUUCCAUGUAACAUUUCCUACAUUUUGCCCUUUUGUUUUUACUUGGAAACCAUUUACAAAAACAACAUUGAUAACUGUAUAAUCUUUUUCCUUCUUCAAAUUCGUGUUCACAUUCUUUUAUUAGAUUUACUAAAUCAUAAUAGUCUGUGACUAAGUGAUAGUCUGUGUUAUUGACUAAGUGAUAGUUUGUGUUUGUUCUUUCUAGUCCUAUUUCAUUUAUAAAUUCGUCUUUUCCAAAGUCUGAAGAAUCAGAAUUAUCCUUUACUUCUUCAAAAACUUUCAUACUUCUGAUAGAGUAUAUACUUUCAUUAUCUGACAUAUAUUCAUCUACAUUUAUCAAAUUCUCAUUCAUAUCCCCUAUUAAUUGUGCAUUUCUAGAUCUAUUAUUAUUUCUUUUUGGACAAGUAUUUGCUAAAUGCUCUAUACUUCCACAAGUAAAACAUUCUAAUUUGUUCUUAUAGGUUUAAUCAGUGUUAUAUUUUCUCACAUGUUUAUUCUUAUCUAAGUAUGGUUUUCUCGCAUUUGAUCUCCUCAAGUAAUAUUUCUUCUUAGGGCGAUAGUGCUUUUUACAUGUCUUUUUAUAUUUUUUUCUUUUUAUAAUCUUGGUCAUAAUGUUGAAUAGAUAUAUGGUCUUACAAAAAUCUGUAUCACUUCUUUUUAAUUAUUUUUAUAUCUGUAUAUUUGUACAUUUUUCUAGUAAUAUAUCCAUUACAUGUUGUAUUCUUUGUCCUAUUGACCAUGGGUUGUUUGGGUUUUGUAUUACUCUUUCUCUUUUAGACCAUUUUUCUUCUAUCUCUCUUCCUAAAGCUCCUGGUAAUUUAUUAAAUAAUUUAGCUCCUAGAGUCUGAUUAAAUGAGUUUCCACUAAUUGUACAAUAAUAAAAGUAAUUAUUUAAAAAUUCUUUAAUUCUUGACCAAUGAUUAAUACUUAAUUGUUCUAAAUUUAUUAAAGCUCUUUGUUGUAAUACUACUAAUCCACUAUUGGGAUCUUGGCCUGUUAGUAGAGUAUGUACCUUAUCUACAAAAUUGUAUAGAUUUGAGCCUACUUCUACUAAUUCUUGAAAGUCUUGUGGGAAUAUUAUUUUAUAAGCUUCCCAAAGUGCUUUAGUACUUUCUCCUAGAAAUGUUUCUAAAUAUCUAUACAUAAUUUCUGCAUCUGGUUCUUGAUUACCCUGUAUAUAUUGUAUGUAGUCUGCUACAACUACAUUUUCCCAUAAGUCUAUUACAUGAUUCCAUGACUGAGGGUCAUGGGAUGGCAAGUUUAAAAUUUUUCCUUUAUUACUUCUUUCUUGUAAUCUAAUGGGUUCUUCUAUUGACAUUCUUUUGUCUCUAGGUUUUAUGUCUUGUUCUAUUAGAGUGUUUGGCUUUGUUCUAAAUACCCCAUGCCUUGGUAAAUUUUCUGUUGUUAAUGGUACGUUUUGCAUUCUGGUACUGACUACAUAUCAUUAAGAAUAGAUAAUUAUGGUAAUACACGUAAAAAAAAACUAAUAGGUGAAGACGAAGAAUCAAAUUAUAGUAUAAAAGAAAGUAUAAAGGAAUUUAUGGAAAGCGCAGCAAGUUCCUCAAGUCCUUUCCAAAGAACAAUCGGUAUGCAAAACGUACCAUUAACAAUAGGAAAUUUACCAAGACAUAGAGUAUUUAGAACAAACCCAAAAACUCUAACAGAACAAGACAUAAAACCUAGAGAAAAAAGAAUGCCAAUAGAAGAACCUACUAGAUUACAAGAAAGAAGUAAUAAAGGAAAAUUUUAAACUUGCCAGCCCAUGACCCUCAGGCAUGGAAUCAUGUAAUAGAUAUAUCGAAAAAUGUAGUUGUAGCAGACUACAUACAACAUAUAUAGGGUAAUCAAGAAUCAGAUGCAGAAAUUAUGUAUAGAUAUUUAGAAACAUUUCUAGGAGAAAGUAUUAAAGCACUUUGGGAAGCUUAUAAAAUAAUAUUCCCACAAGACUUUCAAGAAUUAGUAGAACUAGGCUCAAAUUCAUACCACUUUGUAAACAAAGUACAUACUCUACUCAUAGGACAGGAUCCCGAUAGUGGAUUGGUAGUGUUAUAACAAAGAGCUAUAAUAAAAUUAAAACAAUUAAGUAUUAAUCAUUGGUCAAGAAUUAAAGAAUUUUUAAAUAAUUACUUUUAUUAUUGUACAAUUAGUGGAAACUCAUUUGAUCAGACUCUAGAAGCUAGAUUAUUUAAUAAAUUACCAGGAGCUUUAGAAAGAGAGAUAGAAGAAAAAUGGUCUAAAAGAGAAGGAGUAAUACAAAACAUGAAUAUAUUACAAGAAAAAUGUACAAAUAUACAGAUAUAAAAAUAAUUAAAAUGAAGUGAUAAAGAUUUUUGUAAGACCAUAUAUACUACUCAACACUAUGACCAAGAUUAUAAAAAGAAAAAAUAUAAAAAGACAUAUAAAAAAGACUAUCGCCCUAAGAAGAAAUAUUACUUGAGGAGAUCAAAUGCGAGAAAAUCAUACUUAGAUAAGAAUAAACAUGUGAGAAAAUAUAAUACUGGUAGAACCUAUAAGAAUAAAUUAGAAUGUUUUACUUGUGGAAGUAUAGAGCAUUUAGCAAAUACUUGUCUAACAAGAAAUAAUAAUAGCUAGAAAUGCACAAUUAAUAGAGGAUGUCGUAUAGUCUUUUUCCAUUUCUUCUACUACUAAUAAAUCUUGGACUCCAAUCAAA
RNAcentral lists this long non-coding RNA (8733 nucleotides) under Capsicum annuum. RNAcentral's name for it is "long non-coding RNA (CANN_LNC019840)". The record is from RNAcentral. Lineage: Eukaryota; Viridiplantae; Streptophyta; Magnoliopsida; Solanales; Solanaceae.